GGAGUGAUACGCUAACUCAGUUUCUAACACUGAAAGAUAGCCACCGAGCUCAUUUUUUAAUCCAUUGAAGGUUUUCUAUGAAAAUAUAUUUUAUUAUCACCCAGAGAAGCAGCAAUGUAAAACCAACCAACCUCGAUGGCUAUCAUUCA
Maniola jurtina (meadow brown) is the source of this 149-nucleotide long non-coding RNA. RefSeq lists it as uncharacterized. Lineage: Eukaryota; Metazoa; Arthropoda; Insecta; Lepidoptera; Nymphalidae. The transcript is spliced from 3 exons. The record is from RefSeq and is a predicted model, not a curated record.